AUGGAUAGAUGGAUGGAUCUAUCUUUCUAUUCAGAUAUCUUUUGCAAUCAGCCCCAAAUCCUUGAUUUGGCCAGGAAACAAAACACUGCUUUGGGCCCAGGAAGCAAAGGGAAUGAACUCGGCUGCUUCUCCCCCACACUUCUUUAUUUCUCUGUGCCCCUUCCGCAUGCGCUUCGCGCGCCAUUGGGCUUUGCUCUCCUCUUAUUUCUUCAUUGGAGGGUUCGGAUGGACUUCACCGUUCUUUCCCAACGAAAAUGGAAAGGGUUGUAUCACAUCGAGAUGUCGAUUCGUUUUCCGCCCCAAAUGAGAUAG
Molecule: ribosomal RNA, 312 nt
Filed under: Triticum aestivum (bread wheat)
Lineage: Eukaryota; Viridiplantae; Streptophyta; Magnoliopsida; Poales; Poaceae
Description: partial small subunit ribosomal RNA
Source: RNAcentral